This 99-nucleotide transfer RNA is filed under the name Tilletiaria anomala UBC 951. RNAcentral describes it as "tRNA-Val". Lineage: Eukaryota; Fungi; Basidiomycota; Exobasidiomycetes; Georgefischeriales; Tilletiariaceae. The record is from RNAcentral.
GGUUUCAUGGUGUAGGGGUUAUCACAUAUCCUUAACAUGUAAACACUUCAGUGCUCAUUGUUGCGGAUAAGGUCCCCGGUUCGAGACCGGGUGAAAUCA